RNAcentral lists this transfer RNA (75 nucleotides) under Mustela putorius furo (domestic ferret). It matches the Rfam family "tRNA". From Rfam's summary of the family: Transfer RNA (tRNA) molecules are approximately 80 nucleotides in length. Their secondary structure includes four short double-helical elements and three loops (D, anti-codon, and T loops). Further hydrogen bonds mediate the characteristic L-shaped molecular structure. tRNAs have two regions of fundamental functional importance: the anti-codon, which is responsible for specific mRNA codon recognition, and the 3' end, to which the tRNAs corresponding amino acid is attached (by aminoacyl-tRNA synthetases). tRNAs cope with the degeneracy of the genetic code in two manners: having more than one tRNA (with a specific anti-codon) for a particular amino acid; and 'wobble' base-pairing, i.e. permitting non-standard base-pairing at the 3rd anti-codon position. Lineage: Eukaryota; Metazoa; Chordata; Mammalia; Carnivora; Mustelidae. The record is from Rfam by way of RNAcentral.
GCCUGGCUGUCUCAGUGGGUAGAGCACGCAACUCUUGGUCUCGUGAGGUUGUGAGUUCGAGCCCCACGUUAGGCA